This 253-nucleotide ribosomal RNA is filed under the name uncultured bacterium. RNAcentral's name for it is "partial 16S ribosomal RNA". It matches the Rfam family "Bacterial small subunit ribosomal RNA", at positions 524 to 776 of the family's 1533-position model. The record is from RNAcentral.
UACAGAGGGGGCAAGCGUUAUUCGGAAUUAUUGGGCGUAAAGGGCGCGUAGGCGGCCUGGCAAGUGACGGGUGAAAGCCCUCGGCUCAACCGAGGAACUGCCUGUCAUACUGCCGGGCUUGAGUCCGGGAGAGGUGAGUGGAAUUCCCAGUGUAGCGGUGAAAUGCGUAGAUAUUGGGAGGAGCACCAGUGGCGAAGGCGGCUCACUGGACCGGAACUGACGCUGAGGCGCGAAAGCGUGGGGAGCAAACAGG